UAGGUGAAGAUCUCUGGAAUGAGUUUUCGCUUAAAAGACGUUGGGGUUAUGCUCUCCAGUGUCGCCCAAGGAUGGGGCCGCGACCGAUCAGGUUGUUGGUGAGGUAAUGGCUCACCAAGCCUUUUACCGGUGCGGGCCGUGGGAGCGGGAGCCCGGAGAUGGGCACUGAGACAAGGGCCCAGGCCCUACGGGGCGCAGCAGUCGCGAAAACUUUGCAAUAAGCGAAAGCUUGACAGGGCUAUCCCGAGUGCCAUCCGCUGAGGAAGGCUUUUACCCAGUCUAGAACGCUGGGGGAAUAAGGAGAGGGCAAGUCUGGUGUCAGCCGCCGCGGUAAUACCAGCUCUCCGAGUGGUGUGGAUGUUUAUUGGGCCUAAAGCAUCCGUAGCUGGCUAGGCUAGUCCCCUGUUAAAUCCACCGAAUUAAUCGUUGGAUUGCGGGGGAUACUGCUUGGCUAGGGGACGAGAGAGGCAGACGGUAUUUCCGGGGUAGGGGUGAAAUCCUAUAAUCCCGGGAAGACCACCAGUGGCGAAGGCUGUCUGCUAGAACGCGCCCGACGGUGAGGGAUGAAAGCUGGGGGAGCGAACCGGAUUAGAUACCCGGGUAGUCCCAGCUGUAAACGAUGCAGACUAGGUGUUUGAACGGCCACGUGCCGUUCUAGUGCCGCAGGGAAGCUGUUAAGUCUGCCGCCUGGGGAGUACGAUCGCAAGAUUGAAACUUAAAGGAAUUGGCGGGGGAGCACCACAAG
RNAcentral lists this ribosomal RNA (745 nucleotides) under uncultured archaeon. RNAcentral's name for it is "bacterial SSU rRNA". It matches the Rfam family "Archaeal small subunit ribosomal RNA", at positions 156 to 885 of the family's 1478-position model. The record is from RNAcentral.